UGGAAUGGGUGAAAUUCUUGGAGGGGAUGCUGGUGAAGUAUAAGGAGGAGAUGGAAAUAAAUUUGAAGCCGGGGAUGGGGAUGGGGAUGGAAUUUGUGGAACUUUUGAAGGGGAUGUAACUGGAGAAAUAUAAGAAGGCAAUGGAGGUAAAAUGGGAGCUGAAGAUGGGGUCGGAGGUGAAGCUGAUGGCAAUGGUGGAGAUUUUGCUGAUGGUGCAGGAGAUUUUGCUGGUGGUGGUGGUGGUGGAGAUUUUGCUCGUGGCGGCGGCCGAAGGUGAUGAAUUUUUGGAGGUGGUGGGGGCAUUUUCUUUUUAUUUGGAGGUGGUGGUGAUCAAGGGGGCGACGGUGUUCCUCGAUUCAGAAGUCCUGAUGGUUGAAAUACAGAGUUUUUAUGAUUAUAUGGUAAUGGUGGAUCUUCGUGAUCAUGAGGUGGACUAGGAGGUUCCUCAUUAUCAUAAAUAUUGGCCGCCGCGUUAAUUGCUAGUAAGCCGAAAACCAUGGCAUGCACAAGAUGACACCGAGAUGGUGACGCCAUCCUUUCGAACUCUUCCCAAUAAUCACAUCGCUAAUUAUAUAUCAAAGUAAUUAUAAUCAAGUUUAUACACCUGGAAGUCCAAAUAAUUGAGAUUUUCACGUGGGGAAAGUCUUCAAUGUAUAUAGGUAAACAUUGUCCUGAUAUCUAAAUUCUCUUUUACUGUUUUUCUCCAAAGAAAUUAGACGAGUAAAAAGUUUAACGAUAAGAAUUGUAAAAAAAGAAGUAAUUAUCGUAAUAAAAGACAUUCAUUUAGUAUUAUAAUGCUUUUCAACAAACAUAAUAUUUUCCUCCAUAUUAUCCAUAUAUUAUUACAAUAACUAAUUUUCUAUGAUAUUAUUCUGGCAUGAUUGAUGGAGCACAAUCGACUUUCCUUCAACUGAUUACAUUUUCAAUACAUGCAUUAUAUAAUAUGUAAGUCUCUUCGAAGAAACCCACUGCCAUCAUUAACCAUAUAUAAUCUGAAAAAAAAAACACAAUUAGAGAUUAAAUAUUGGUAAAUUAAAAAAAAAAGAACCAUGUUAUCGAAAUGAACAAUCUAUUACAAAGAAAGUUAAAAGAACUGACCAAUUUUGAUAGAUAUUUUUGAACAAGGUGGAGGUUAAUUAUUGGAUGAAGGAGGUGAUGGAGAUAGAGGAGGCGGGGAUUUAGAUUUAAAGUGAAAGAAGGGAGGAAGUGUAAACCUCGAAGGAGGUGGAAAUUUAAGGAUAUGUGGAGGGGGAGAAGGAGAUGGACGUGGCGGGGAUUUAAAGUAAAAGAAGGGAGGAAGUGUAAACCUCGGAGGAGGUGGAGAUUUGAGGAUAGGUGGAGGGGGAGAAGGAGAUGGAGGUGGCGGCGAUUUAAAGUGAAACAAGGGAGGAAGUGUAAACCUCGGAGGAGGUGGAGAUUUGAGGAAAGGUGGAGGGGGGGAAGGAGAUGGAGGUGGCGGGGAUUUAAAGUGAAAGAAGGGAGGAAGUGUAAACCUCGGAGGAGGUGGAGAUUUGAGGAUAGGUGGAGGGGGUGGAGGAGAAGUAUAAGGAGGUGAUGGAAUGGGUGAAAUUUUUGGAGGGAAUGUCGGGGGAGUAUAAGGAUGUGAUGGAGAUAAAUUGGGAGUUGGGGAUGGGGAUGGUGAUGGGGAUGGAAUGGGUGAAAUUCUUGGAGGGGAUGUCGGGGGAGUAUAAGGAUGUGAUGGAGAUAAAUUGGGAGUUGGGGAUGGGGAUGGUGAAACUUUUGGAGAGGAUGUCGGGGGAGUAUAAGGAUGUGAUGGAGAUAAAUUAGGAGUUGGGGAUGGGGAUGGGGAUGGGGAUGGAAUGGGUGAAAUUCUUGGAGGGGAUGUCGGGGGAGUAUAAGGAUGUGAUGGAGAUAAAUUGGGAGUUGGGGAUGGGGGUGGUGAAACUUUUGGAGAGGAUGUCGGGGGAGUAUAAGGAUGUGAUGGAGAUAAAUUAGGAGUUGGGGAUGGGGAUGGGGAUGGGGAUGGAAUGGGUGAAAUUCUUGGAGGGGAUGUCGGGGGAGUAUAAGGAUGUGAUGGAGAUGAAUUGGGAGUUGGGGAUGGUGAUGGAAAUCGUGAAACUUUUGGAGAGGAUGUCGGUGGAGUAUAAGGAUGUAAUGGAGAUAAAUUGGGAGUUAGGGACAGUGAUGGAAUGGGUGAAAUUCUUGGAGGGGAUGUCGGGGGAGUAUAAGGAUGUGAUGGAGAUAAAUUGGGAGUUGGGGAUGGGGAUGGUGAAACUUUUGGAGAGGAUGUCGGGGGAGUAUAAGGAUGCGAAGGAGAUAAAUUAGGAGUUGGGGAUGGAGAUGGAAUGGGGGGAAUUCUCGGAGGGGAUGCUGGUGAAGUAUAAGGAGGAGAUGGAGAUAAAUUGGAAGCCGGGGAUGGGGAUGGUGGAACUUUUGAAGGGGGUGUAACUGGAGAAAUUUUAGAAGGCAAUGGAGGUAAAAUGGGAGCUGAAGAUGAGGUCGGAGGUGAAGCUGAUGGCAAUGGUGGAGACUUCGCUGGUGGUGGCGGGGGUGGAGACUUUGCUGGUGGUGGAGGUGAUUGUGUUUUCUUCUUUUUUGGAGGUGGUGGGGGCGUUUUCUUCUUAUUUGGAGGUGGUGGUGAUCGAGGCGGCGGCGGCGGUGUUCC
RNAcentral lists this long non-coding RNA (2626 nucleotides) under Populus trichocarpa (black cottonwood). RNAcentral's name for it is "long non-coding RNA (PTRI_LNC000263)". Lineage: Eukaryota; Viridiplantae; Streptophyta; Magnoliopsida; Malpighiales; Salicaceae. The record is from RNAcentral.